RNAcentral lists this transfer RNA (63 nucleotides) under Cavia porcellus (domestic guinea pig). It matches the Rfam family "tRNA". From Rfam's summary of the family: Transfer RNA (tRNA) molecules are approximately 80 nucleotides in length. Lineage: Eukaryota; Metazoa; Chordata; Mammalia; Rodentia; Caviidae. The record is from Rfam by way of RNAcentral.
GGGGAUUUAGCUCAGUGGCAUAACGCCUGCCUUGCAAGCAGGCAGUUGUGAGCUCAAUCCCCG